This 252-nucleotide ribosomal RNA is filed under the name uncultured bacterium. RNAcentral describes it as "partial 16S ribosomal RNA". It matches the Rfam family "Bacterial small subunit ribosomal RNA", at positions 524 to 776 of the family's 1533-position model. The record is from RNAcentral.
UACGGGGGGGGCAAGCGUUGUUCGGAAUUACGGGGCGUAAAGGGCGCGUAGGUGGCCUUCUAAGUUGAACGUGAAAUCCCUGGGCUCAACCCAGGAACUGCGUCCGAUACUGAAAGGCUUGAAUCCGGGAGAGGGAUGUGGAAUUCCAGGUGUAGCGGUGAAAUGCGUAGAUAUCUGGAGGAACACCGGUGGCGAAGGCGGCAUCCUGGACCGGUAUUGACGCUGAGGCGCGAAAGCUAGGGAGCAAACGGG